Long non-coding RNA from Syzygium oleosum, 394 nucleotides. RefSeq lists it as uncharacterized. The transcript has 3 exons. Lineage: Eukaryota; Viridiplantae; Streptophyta; Magnoliopsida; Myrtales; Myrtaceae. The record is from RefSeq and is a predicted model, not a curated record.
UAAAGUGGUGAAGUGCUUCCCAACAGGCUAGGGUUUCGAUUUGCGCCGGAGAAGACGCUCGCACCUUCUUUGCAAAACCGUCAACGAUCUUCCCAGAGGCAUCUCGGCAUACACAGGCAACACUACCUUCGUUAUCUCCUUCCACAAAGGACCCAUCAACGUUAAUUUUGAGGGUACCUACCGGCGGUGGCUUCCAUAUGGCAGCUUCCACGACCCACCUCGGCUCUGGGUUCUGUUGACCAAAUACGUGAUUGUUUCUUGACUUCCAGAUGUUCCAUAGGAUCUCGGCUAGUAGCUCAGGGUGCGUCCAAACCUGUUUGGUCCAUUCACAGAGAAGAAAGAUAUGUUCUACAGUCUCUGGGUGCUUGCGACAAAGAGGGCAUAAGGGCUUAGG